This 1352-nucleotide ribosomal RNA is filed under the name Psychrobacter cibarius. RNAcentral's name for it is "bacterial SSU rRNA". It matches the Rfam family "Bacterial small subunit ribosomal RNA", at positions 87 to 1437 of the family's 1533-position model. Lineage: Bacteria; Pseudomonadati; Pseudomonadota; Gammaproteobacteria; Moraxellales; Moraxellaceae. The record is from RNAcentral.
GGCGUCGAGCGGCGGACGGGUGAGUAAUACUUAGGAAUCUACCUAGUAGUGGGGGAUAGCACGGGGAAACUCGUAUUAAUACCGCAUACGACCUACGGGAGAAAGGGGGCAGUUUACUGCUCUCGCUAUUAGAUGAGCCUAAGUCGGAUUAGCUAGAUGGUGGGGUAAAGGCCUACCAUGGCGACGAUCUGUAGCUGGUCUGAGAGGAUGAUCAGCCACACCGGGACUGAGACACGGCCCGGACUCCUACGGGAGGCAGCAGUGGGGAAUAUUGGACAAUGGGGGAAACCCUGAUCCAGCCAUGCCGCGUGUGUGAAGAAGGCCUUUUGGUUGUAAAGCACUUUAAGCAGUGAAGAAGACUCCAUGGUUAAUACCCAUGGACGAUGACAUUAGCUGCAGAAUAAGCACCGGCUAACUCUGUGCCAGCAGCCGCGGUAAUACAGAGGGUGCAAGCGUUAAUCGGAAUUACUGGGCGUAAAGGGAGCGUAGGUGGCUCUAUAAGUCAGAUGUGAAAUCCCCGGGCUUAACCUGGGAACUGCAUCUGAAACUGUAGAGCUAGAGUAUGUGAGAGGAAGGUAGAAUUCCAGGUGUAGCGGUGAAAUGCGUAGAGAUCUGGAGGAAUACCGAUGGCGAAGGCAGCCUUCUGGCAUAAUACUGACACUGAGGCUCGAAAGCGUGGGUAGCAAACAGGAUUAGAUACCCUGGUAGUCCACGCCGUAAACGAUGUCUACUAGUCGUUGGGUCCCUUGAGGACUUAGUGACGCAGCUAACGCAAUAAGUAGACCGCCUGGGGAGUACGGCCGCAAGGUUAAAACUCAAAUGAAUUGACGGGGGCCCGCACNAGCGGUGGAGCAUGUGGUUUAAUUCGAUGCAACGCGAAGAACCUUACCUGGUCUUGACAUAUCUAGAAUCCUGCAGAGAUGCGGGAGUGCCUUCGGGAAUUAGAAUACAGGUGCUGCAUGGCUGUCGUCAGCUCGUGUCGUGAGAUGUUGGGUUAAGUCCCGCAACGAGCGCAACCCUUGUCCUUAGUUACCAGCGGGUUAAGCCGGGAACUCUAAGGAUACUGCCAGUGACAAACUGGAGGAAGGCGGGGACGACGUCAAGUCAUCAUGGCCCUUACGACCAGGGCUACACACGUGCUACAAUGGUAGGUACAGAGGGCAGCUACACAGCGAUGUGAUGCGAAUCUCAAAAAGCCUAUCGUAGUCCAGAUUGGAGUCUGCAACUCGACUCCAUGAAGUAGGAAUCGCUAGUAAUCGCGGAUCAGAAUGCCGCGGUGAAUACGUUCCCGGGCCUUGUACACACCGCCCGUCACACCAUGGGAGUUGAUUGCACCAGAAGUGGAUAGCUUA